RNAcentral lists this long non-coding RNA (135 nucleotides) under Astyanax mexicanus (Mexican tetra). RNAcentral describes it as "lncRNA (ENSAMXG00005011476.1)". The record is from RNAcentral. Lineage: Eukaryota; Metazoa; Chordata; Actinopteri; Characiformes; Acestrorhamphidae.
AUAUUAGUCAUUUCACCUGAAACCCCCCUGCACCAGAGAUUUCCCCAAGCCCACUCCAGGCUACAAAGCUGCGUGGCCAACGCGCUGCCACUCCCUAAGGAAUACAGGAUUUCUUUUACCUCGUUGACUACUUGA